UGAACAGUUGUAGUUUGAUUUGUCUGAUGGUAAUGAGACACACCAAGUGUGCCAUGUGGAAAGAGUUUGUGAGUUUGCUCAUGUAGGCCAGUUUCUGUUCAUAAGCUGUAUGAAUUUGGAAAGUCAUUUAAGUCUUUGAUCAUGUGGAUUAAGAGUUGUGGCCCUUUCCCUCAUUUUAUCUGAUAGGUAUGGAACAGCUCCCAGGUGUUUUACUCCUGUGUCUUGUACAAACAUGAGUUUCUGAAGAGUUUAUACUGGUGUCAUGGAGGUGUGUUAAUGUGAAGACUGAGCAAAGAUUCACAUUACUUCAGUAACCUGAAACUUUUUAAAACUA
This 334-nucleotide long non-coding RNA is filed under the name Bos taurus (domestic cattle). RNAcentral's name for it is "long non-coding RNA NONBTAT015173". The record is from RNAcentral. Lineage: Eukaryota; Metazoa; Chordata; Mammalia; Artiodactyla; Bovidae.